AUUGAACGCUGGCGGCAGGCCUAACACAUGCAAGUCGAGCGGCAGCGACUUAUCUGAACCUUCGGAGAACGUUAAGGGCGGCGAGCGGCGGACGGGUGAGUAAUGCCUGGGAAUAUGCCCUGAUGUGGGGGAUAACUAUUGGAAACGAUAGCUAAUACCGCAUAAUCUCUUCGGAGCAAAGAGGGGGACCUUCGGGCCUCUCGCGUCAGGAUUAGCCCAGGUGGGAUUAGCUUGUUGGUGAGGUAAUGGCUCACCAAGGCAACGAUCCCUAGCUGGUCUGAGAGGAUGAUCAGCCACACUGGAACUGAGACACGGUCCAGACUCCUACGGGAGGCAGCAGUGGGGAAUAUUGCACAAUGGGGGAAACCCUGAUGCAGCCAUGCCGCGUGUGUGAAGAAGGCCUUCGGGUUGUAAAGCACUUUCAGUAGGGAGGAAGGUAGUGUAGUUAACACCUGCACUAUUUGACGUUACCUACAGAAGAAGCACCGGCUAACUCCGUGCCAGCAGCCGCGGUAAUACGGAGGGUGCGAGCGUUAAUCGGAAUUACUGGGCGUAAAGCGCAUGCAGGCGGCCUGUUAAGUCAGAUGUGAAAGCCCGGGGCUUAACCUCGGAAUUGCAUUUGAAACUGGCAGGCUAGAGUCUUGUAGAGGGGGGUAGAAUUUCAGGUGUAGCGGUGAAAUGCGUAGAGAUCUGAAGGAAUACCAGUGGCGAAGGCGGCCCCCUGGACAAAGACUGACGCUCAGAUGCGAAAGCGUGGGGAGCAAACAGG
RNAcentral lists this ribosomal RNA (769 nucleotides) under uncultured bacterium. RNAcentral's name for it is "bacterial SSU rRNA". It matches the Rfam family "Bacterial small subunit ribosomal RNA", at positions 28 to 776 of the family's 1533-position model. The record is from RNAcentral.